Molecule: long non-coding RNA, 212 nt
Filed under: Phoenix dactylifera (date palm)
Lineage: Eukaryota; Viridiplantae; Streptophyta; Magnoliopsida; Arecales; Arecaceae
Description: long non-coding RNA (PDAC_LNC008879)
Source: RNAcentral
AGGAAAAAGUGUAGAUCUCCUUCUCCUCUACGCAAGGACCUCGAUUUCCAAAAAGAAAAAGGUAAAUAUCCAUCUCUAUCUAGUCUUUUGAUGACAUUAGGCUAUACAAAGGGUGGAUGUAGUCUAGAGGGGUCGGAUAAGGGUUGUAGAGGUGGUUAAAAGAAGAAGAAUCGGAUUUUGACAAAUUUUUUCGGCACUACGGAAAAACUGUG